AUUGAACGCUGGCGGCAGGCCUAACACAUGCAAGUCGAGCGGAUGAAGGGAGCUUGCUCCUGGAUUCAGCGGCGGACGGGUGAGUAAUGCCUAGGAAUCUGCCUGGUAGUGGGGGAUAACGUCCGGAAACGGGCGCUAAUACCGCAUACGUCCUGAGGGAGAAAGUGGGGGAUCUUCGGACCUCACGCUAUCAGAUGAGCCUAGGUCGGAUUAGCUAGUUGGUGGGGUAAAGGCCUACCAAGGCGACGAUCCGUAACUGGCCUGAGAGGAUGAUCAGUCACACUGGAACUGGGACACGGUCCAGACUCCUACGGGAGGCAGCAGUGGGGAAUAUUGGACAAUGGGCGAAAGCCUGAUCCAGCCAUGCCGCGUGUGUGAAGAAGGUCUUCGGAUUGUAAAGCACUUUAAGUUGGGAGGAAGGGCAGUAAGUUAAUACCUUGCUGUUUUGACGUUACCAACAGAAUAAGCACCGGCUAACUUCGUG
Molecule: ribosomal RNA, 484 nt
Filed under: uncultured bacterium
Lineage: Bacteria
Description: partial 16S ribosomal RNA
Rfam family: Bacterial small subunit ribosomal RNA
Source: RNAcentral